GUCUACGGCCAUGCUACCCUGAACAAGCCUGAUUUUGUCUGAUCUCGGAAGCUAAGCAGGGUUGGGCCUGGUUAGUACUUGGAUGGGAGACCACCUAGGAAUACCAGGUGCUAUAGGAG
This 119-nucleotide ribosomal RNA is filed under the name Pteropus alecto (black flying fox). Lineage: Eukaryota; Metazoa; Chordata; Mammalia; Chiroptera; Pteropodidae. The record is from RNAcentral.